Molecule: RNA transcript, 8859 nt
Organism: Beta vulgaris subsp. vulgaris (sugar beet)
Lineage: Eukaryota; Viridiplantae; Streptophyta; Magnoliopsida; Caryophyllales; Amaranthaceae
Exons: 3
Source: RefSeq, a predicted model, not a curated record
AUUAACUUGCUGCCGGUCCCAAGCCCGGAUAAAGGAGGAGGGUUGUACGAGGUGAAAACCAACAUUACAUUUGGUCACAUCCGUGAGCAUGAAUCAUUAUCAUAUUUCAGUGGAGUUAUGCUUUAAUCAUCGAUGCACUACAAUAUACAGACCUAGUCUAGUGGAAACAUGGAAAGGAUGUAACGUUAAUCCCUUGAAGUGACAUGUUCCACCCUUGUUUAGUAAUUUAAGUGUAGUGGUAAAUUAGGAAGAGUUUAUAAGUCUAGGUCAUAGGUCGUAGUCAAAAUGGACUUGCGGUGGGCAUUUUGUGGUAUAGAGUGUAUUCAUAGUGUUUGAAAGGAAUCAUCUCGGAUUGUGCAUAUUUGUAUGAGUUGAUCUUAGUUGACACAUAGUUCAGAAAAGUGGGAAUAUACGUUUGAUGACUUAGAAAUGAAGCAGACAGACAACCAAGACUUGUAUAAACGACAUAUACUGAUAAUUCAGAUGUAGUAGAUGAAAGAGAGAAAGAAAAGAAGAAAAGGUCAUGCAUGCAAUUAGAAGUACGUAGACAAAUGUUCGAAAAGGUCAUGCAUGCAUUUUGGCUUUCUGUUACUGUAUAAAACAGGAAUCCUUCACUCUAUCAUAUUUUUUGGGCCAGACUUCGAAGUACAUUUAUCUUAAGACUAUUGUGUGAGUUGGUUAUUUUUGGGAUAAGCUGAUGAUUUGUUGUUUAGAGUACUUGUGGCGUGCAAGCAGGAUAUUCAGGAGAGGUACUUUUGGAGCUGAGCCACUUGGAUCCUGUAAGUUUACUCUUUCUUAUUUGUAGGAUUAGCCUUAGCAUGUAUCUUUUGGCAGGAAGACUGCUAAAAUCUGAGCUUUGUUGCAUUAUAAGCUUGCUUGUCUAGCGUUUUGUUUUGUGUAUGGGUUAUGCCUCAGGAGUCAGGGCUCAGGUGCAUGAUUAUCUCACACCUUGUUGUAUUCUCCUAGGGAUGUUAGACAAAAGGUUCAGGUUUUAUGCGUUAAUGUAUUCUUAGUAAUUUUUUAUGGUUAUGUGUACUUUGUCGUUCUCCCCUUGUUUGGCAAAUGAUGUUUUAGUAUAGGUGCAAUAUUCUGCUUCAGCUUCGAGUUGAUAAUGUUCUUUUGAAAUUGUUGUGGUGCAUUUAAUGGGGGCUAAUGUCCUGAUCAUAAAUGUGGUUUGUUGGCCUUGGCUGCUCAUGGUAUGUGGUACAUUUAAUGGGGUAAUAUCCUGAUCAUAAAUGUGGGUUCUAUUGGCCUUGGCUCCUCGUGGUAUGUUAAACGGGUUUGAACUCUUGAUUGUAAAUGUGGUUCCAUUGGCUGUGGCUCCUCAUGCUGUCGUGCGUGCAUGACAUCUUUAUUUGGGUCCUUUUUCUGGUUGAAUCGUGUUGUCACAGGCUUUUGUCAAUAGUUGUGUUGUGCGAUAUAUUAGUAUCAUGGUGUCUGUACUCGAGUGAGAAAUGCCGCUGCUGAUGGAUCCUGCGCAAACCAGAUCCAGCAGAUUAAAUUGAGCAUCUCCUUGCAUCUAAAUGGGGAUGAACUCUGGAUCGUAAAUGUGGUCCGAUUGGCCGUGGCUCCUCAUGCUGUCGUGCAUGCAUGACAUCUUUAUGAGUCCUUGUUCUGCUUGAAUUGAGCUGUCACAGACUUAUGUCAAUAGCAGUGUUGUGCGAUAUAUUAGUAUGCUGGUGUGCGGUGGAGGAGAUCUGUUCGAGUGAGAAAUGCCGCUGCAGAAUAAAUAGAGCAGCUCCUUGCAUCCUCGGCUUGGCUUCAGGUUCAUGUCAGUUAUAGUUGACUGGGUUUUUACUGUUGUGUCUAUUAUUCAAUGUUCUGUUCUCCACUUGUGAUAUUGUGUUGCUUGUUUGGUGGAGGUUCUGAGGAGAUAUCUACGGUGCUGAUGGAUUUCUGUUCUUCUCUGUUGCGACUCUGUACUGCUGCAAUUUGUUAUUUGUAGUAUGAUCAGUCUAGUGUGUUGGCCACAAGAUAACGGCUGAUAGAUAUUGUGUGAUUUAGGAGGGAGUGGUCACCCAUCGUUUCAUUGGAAAUCUACUGUAGUAUACUCUGGUAUGGAACCCCGUAUAAAUCUGAUUAUGGUACUGUCAAGACUUUGUCGUUUGAUCUUUUCUGUUCUAGUUCUUGGCAGAUAGUUUCGUGUGAAGGUUCGUGCUGUAAAAUUGUGGCUGUCAAUAAAUCUGCAUUUGUGAUUUUUAACUCUGAUUGGCUUGUUGGUUUUUAGAUUGCUGAGACACGUGUCGCGUGGUAUCCAUGGACUGAUCGACAUGCAAAGGUUCAAUGGAUUACAACUUAUAGGGCUCUACUACAUAUACAUAUAUAAAAUAUAUAUGCAUACGUAUACAUACAUACAUAUAUAUAUAGUGCAACUUUUUCGUUUAUAUUCCAAGUUUAUCCUUCUUAUGCUUCAGGGUGAUGUCGAUUACAUCACUGGAUUUAUAUGGGUGAUGCCGAUUACAUACUGGAUGUUUUAUGGUUUAUUAUUUUGGCAUCUUGUUUCUGCUUUAAGCUUCGUCUUUAUCUUAUUAUUGAUCAGAUCUCAUCGGUUAGCCUAUCAAUGUGCUGUGAUUCUGGCAAUAUUCUUCCCUUCUAUACUUCAGCUGAUACUUCAGCAGAGAUUGUAAUGGCAUGGUGGUGGUGUCAUAGAUGCUUAGUAAGUUGGUAUAGGGGCUCUGCUUAUGAAUUUCACUUUUUUUGUAUGUUCGAAAUUUGUGACAUAUUUAGGUCUUUCACGUGACUGUUCUGGGUUGGAUGUUCGGGAUGUUUCCACUGCUUCAGGUUCUUCUUCUCUCUGUCUAUCUCUAGAGGGAUUCUUUUUUGAAUGUGGAUUGCGGAGUUGAGUUUGGUUUGGUCGGAGAAAAUAGGAUUGUUCUUUGUACUGUUUUUUUUGGUUGCAAAUCUAUGCCCCUUGAUUUUUGAGAAGUAAGGCAUUAUGUAGGACUAUAGCUCAAUUCUGCUAAUGCAGGCUCUCGUCAUUCAUCAAUAGCUGGUUCUGGUCGAAGAUGUUAUUCCCCUUGUGCUCAUCUAUGGGUCUUUCUCAGAGUUGGGAGUGCACAUCAUGUCAAAUUUCUUACCCCUUCUCCUGAAGCAUGGUUUCUUUUGGUUUUACUUGCUGCUAAUAUAUUGACCUACAACCUACAUGGUCUAGAAAUAUGAUGUAGUGGUAGUUAGGGGUGCUAGGUGAAUUUGUUUUGGGUUGGUGGUUUAGGGAUCUUGAUAGAAGGUGCCUGUAAGUGUAGCCUGUAGGAGGUGUCUUUAAUACCUGUAUUCUUCAUAGAUCUGUUUCGCUUGCAGAUUAUUGGUGUUUCUCCGCUGGGUGAUAUGUGAUAUUGAAAUAAGCGGUGGCUUACCUUGAGAAUAUAAGGGUGUUUGUGAUUUAUAUUUAUAAUUUUUUUGUUUGCCUUGCAACUUCUAGUUGGUGACAUGGUAUACUUUCUAGUUGAUGCUGUGAUGCGUUGUACUCUGUAUGGUAGAGAAGCUUUAAGCAAUCUUAUACCGUGAUUUGAAGAGCCCUCGAUCUCUUUUGACAUUUUAGUGGCAAGAUGAUGGAGUUUGAGAGGUCUUGUACAAAUUUUAGAGGGAGUCGUCUGUCCAUCAUGUUGUUUUUUGGAGAUAUGCACUAUUUUUUUAGAAGAACUUAAGCUUUUCAGUUGAUCUCCAUGCUUUUCCCUCUGCUAAGUUCAUCUCAAUGCUUUUGGUUCUAGAUCUCUGAGGUGGUCUGCUACAAUAUCCUUUGACAUAAAGAGUGGCGAUACAGAGCUUCCGCAAUGAUGAAUAAGGGAAUGUUGUGAUGUAUUAUGCUUGUAUUAUAUCUGGCGUAAUAUUUUAUCGUGUGUAUCUUAAGUUUAUCCUUCUCUUCAGGUUCAGGUUCAGGUUCAUGAUCAUCUUGUGUGUAACUUAUUGUGUGCAUCAAGUUGUAGAUUAUUAGAUGGUUAUAAUUUGGGAGAUUAUUUUUCCAAGCACAUAACGAGUGUUCACGUCUGUCUGUGCUUCUGUGGUUUGCCUUGGAAUUUUGUCUGCUGUAUUUUCACUUUUUUUUUUUCUUGUUUGAUCAUACUUGUAGCUUGUGUGUUGGGAUGGUCUGAGGAGAUAUAGUUACUUGAUCAUAUCGUUGUGCUUGCUGCUUCUUUUUUUUUUUUUUGGGGGGGGGGGAUUGGCAGUAGUGGUUGUAAGGCGUUCUCUUUGUUCUGCGUAAUUUUGAAGUUUGGAAGUCCUUGAAUAUGGGUUGUAGCUAUCAAUUUGGUAACUUCUUUCUCUUUGUUCUGCAUAAUUUUGAAUUUUGGAAGUCAUUGACUAUGGAUUAUAGCUAUCCAGUUGGUAAUUUCUUGCAUAUUUUGGGUUUGUGUUUGCUAUAGCCGAUUUUGCAAGGAUUGAUAAUCAUGACUGUUCUACUGUUUACUGUUUCAUGUUAAUUUUCUCCUCAGGUCGCAUCAGAAGAUUUUGUUGGUUGAUUUUCUGGUUGUCCUGUGGGUACACUAAGCAGCUUUCAGCAUGCUGGUCACAGUGUGUUAGGUUCAAUUGGCACACUUCAGGCUCAUGCUUUCAUCUGGUGGUUCUUGGUAUUACUUUCCGUACUUUUUCGCUAUUAAGUUGAGUUUUUAAGCUUGUUAUCUCUGUAUCAUCCUUGUAUUGUGUGUCCGGUAGUACCUUUGAGUUUGAAGGCAUAAUGUUAGCCUCUUCUGAUUUAAGAUGGAGCUCUUUCGUGCUUUGGUACUCCAACAAUUAUUUUCAUCUUUGUGAUUGGUUUUUAACUUGCUCUUAGCUGAUUUUGCGAAUCUCUGGCUUCUAGGUUCUUCGGGUAAUAUUUUCUGGUAUUUUGGUUUACUUUCUCCCACACUGGUAAAUACACCUCUACUAUUUCAAUGGUUAGAUCAGGCAGAAAUCUGAUAGGCAACAGGAUGGUUAGUUAGCUUUAUGUAGUUUUCUUGAUGCCAAACUCCUUCACUGCAAUGGGAUUUUAUCUUCUUGGCGUCAAUUUUAUGCUGAUGGGUUGACAGAGGUGAUUGAGAGGCUUGUAGUGUAAAGAAACUGCUUAUUCAUUUAGGUCCCAUUCUUUUGAUUUACUUUCAGUUAAGUUCAUUUCAGUUCAGUUCAAGUUCAUUAAGUUUAUUUCAAGUUAAUUUCAGUUCAGUUAUUGUUAUUAUUAUUAUUUUCACUAUUAUUGUUAUUAUUAUUAUUGUUAUUAUUCUUAAUAUUGUUAUUCUUAUUAUUUAUUAUUUAUUAUUAUUAUUAUUUAUUGUUGUUAUUAUUAUUUAUUAUUAUUAUCAUUAUUAAUAAUUAUUAUUAUUAUUAUUGUUGUUAUUUAUUUAUUGUUUAUUAUUUAUUAUUUAUUAGUGUUUUUACCUUAUUAUUAUUGAUUAUUAUUUAAUUAUUUUUAUCAGUGUUUAAUUUUUUAUUAUUAUUGUUGUUAUUAUUUUUAUUAUUAUUAUUAUCAGGUAAUUUCAGUUCAGUUCAAUUAUUUUCAGUUUAGUAAAUUUUGGUUUAGCCCAAAUAAGUUCAAAAGAACAGGGUCUUAUUAUAUAUAGAGGCUUAUAGUGAGAAUUUUUUUUUUAGCAUUAACAUUUAUUUUCUGGUAGAUCUUUGACCGAACGUUUCUGCAGAUUCGUAAUAUGCUGAAUCAGUAGUUGUAGUUUUAGCUUGACAAUCCGGUUCAUCUUAAUUAUAAUUUGGUAGUUGAAGUAGCUAAAUUGGUUCUUGGGUCAAAUUUGUUUAAUCAAGUGACGAAGUUACUAGUUGAAGUUGCUAAAUUGGUUCUUGGGUCAAAUUUGUUUAAUCAAGUGACGAAGUUGAGUAAUAUUGUGCUUAUUCAUGCUAAUUUUAAUCUCAACACAUCCUGUAGAUUCUGGGACUUUAUAUCUUCACGCUUUGGCUUGUCAUCGGAUUCAUGCACUCACAAGUUUGUUGUAGUUGUCUGUUAAUUUGAGCAGAGUAUUUGAAGAUUUUGGUUCAUCCAUAUCUUAGUUUGUUUUAGGAAUGACUAUAACGGUAAGCAUAGGCAAAAAUCUUAAAGGUUAUUGGUUAUGUGUUGUGUUUGCCUUUGAGUACUGGAGACGUUUUUGUUGUAGUUUUCUCUUGAUUGACAUUUUGACUUGGGACAAGAUCAUGAAUAUUUUCUGCUUAAUGGGGCCACAAUUGCUUCAGUGCUGUUUAUCGUUUUGCCAACAUAUGCUUGGGGUUGGUUGUUUAGUAGGUUGUACAAACCUGGAAUAUGCUUUGUGGCUCUUUAGCACUAUAGAAAUGCCUUUCAAUGUUGUCUUUUGGUUGAUCUGGUGAUGGUUUGAGUGAUAUCAUUCAUAUCUUCUUGGUUUUUGGGCUUUAAGUUGGCGCAAAGUAUGAUGUUAUCUCAUAUAGUUGUGAUUUGGCGGUAUUUGUGAAGAUGUCUUGCGUGCGCAAGUUGUUUCGGGAGAGUUCUAGGCUUGCAUUUGACUAGUGGCAACUAGAUACAGAUACAAAGUAAUGUGUGGUAUUGUUUCAUGUAUCAGGACAACUGAGCAGUUUUCCUGAGUUCUCUUUUUUUUUGGAUGGAGGUAUUCUAUCUCUUACAUAGAAAAUAAGUUUCUUGAUAAUUUGAAUCUCAAUUGUGUUCAUGUCGGAAGGAGCGUCCGUGUAGUCGUCUUAUUUUUAGUACAGUAACGUUUUCUCACGGCAUUUCUAUCGUAUCUUUUUGGUGGUCUUUUAUCUUCUGUCAUUCGUUGGUGCAAUGUGUUCCUUAUGGAGGGUAUAGAAUAGUUAACUGCAAUUUGGCUAUGGCUUGUGCUGAUGUUUUUUGGAAAACCACAGUGCUGAAGAGAUCUGACAAAUCUGCCUAAUCACAGGGCAUUUUGUUUCACAAUUUUAUCUUUCGAAGAUCAGAAAGAUCUGUUGUGGCUUGUCUGGUAGAUCUCAGACUUCAGUCUUCUAUUUUGGCAAACGAUUAGUAAUUCAUUAAAAUAAAUUACGAGUAACCUAAAAUAAUAAAAUAAAUCAAUUCUUGCAGAUAAAAAUAAAAUAUAUAUGUCCAUUAUCAACAACAAAUAGAUUAGAGAUUAUAAUAAUAUAAUAAAUCUUCAAAAUGAACAUAUAAAUAGAUUAAAUAUAAAGUAUAAUGCUCUUUUUGUUUCAAGAUACUCUUUAUACUUUCACUUUCAAUCUAUUUACUCUUUCUACUUAUGUCUUUGAAUAUAACUCAUUAUUUUUAUCUUUCUGCCUUUUAACUAUUGACCUAUAUUUUCUUCUCUCCAAACAAAGAACACACGAAAAAUUUCAACACCAACUGAGAAAAGCCGCAAACUACUAUUGCAGUCUACAAACUAGUAUGUCACAUUGGCGGGGUCAGUUAAUUUUCUACUUAUCUUUGUAAAUUUGAUAAACCACCUCACAGGUUACACAUAUAGUGUUUUGGCCUAGAUUCAUGAACAUGUAGGGAAAAUUUCUUCAACCUAUGCACGAAAGACAUAAACGGGUUGGGUCCGAUUCUUCCCUGCGUUGCGUAACGGACAGCUGAAUCUGAAUUGACAGUCCGAAAUUGAAUGUCUAAUGACUUCAAACAGAGAGAAUUAAAAGAGAUCAUAAUUGUUUAUUCUAAUGAUCAUAUUAGAAGAGAGAUCAUAAUUAUAACACUAUAGGUUCAGCAUAUUAAUUGAGGUCCUUAUAGGCUUGCAUUUGACUAGUUGCGACUAGAUAGAGAUACAAAGUAAUGUGUGGUAUUGCUUCAUGAUCAGGACAACUGAGCAGUUUUCUUGAGUUCUCUUGUUUCUUGAUAUUUUGAAUCUUAGUUGUGUUCAUGUUGGAAGGAGCGUCCACGUAGUCGUCUUAUUUCUAGUGCAAGUAUGUUUUCUCACGGAAUUUCUAUCUAUCUUUUUCGUGGUCUUUUAUCUUCUGUUGUUCGUUGGUGCAAUGUGUUCUUUAUGGAUGGUAUAGGGUAGUUAAGUGCAAUGUAGCUAUGGCUUGUGCUGAUGUUUUUGAAAAACCACCCACACACAGUGCUGAAGAGAUAUGACAGUUCUGCUUAAUCAUAUGGCAUUUUGUUUCAUAUUUAUCUUUUGAAGAUCAGAAAGAUCUGUUGUGGCUUGUCUGAUAGAUUUCAGACUCCAGUCUCAUGACCCACACACAGUGCUGAAGAGAUAUGACAUAUCUUCUUAAUCAUAUGGCAUUUUGUUUCAUAUUUUAUCUUCUGAAGAUCAGAAAGAUCUGUUGUGGCUUGUCUGGUAGAUUUCAGACUCCAGUCUCAUGCUGGGUUAUUAACAUGCACGAGGUUGCAUUGAGCUCUACAUGUGGUUGAUAAAUUAGACUUCAGUCAUAAUGGUUGCAUUGAGCUCUCUACAUGCUGGUUUAUUAAUCUUUGCUAUAGGCUCGCUUUCUACUAAUUUAUGACCUUAAAUUUUGUGAUACUGAGGUUUGCGGAUAUUCGUCUAGUUCAGGUUUAUGGCUAUGCUCUAAUCAGAUUUUAUGAGCAUGUUUCUUUUAAUGUGGAUAUACUUCCGGUUGUCUUUGAUUUGUAUUUAGCAUUUUGUAGCUUCAACAUCGUCCAUUUCUUUGGCGUAAGUUGCUGUUUCAACAUCACCCUUCUGGUCAUAAAGAGAUGUCCUUCACCUGCUCAACAGCACGUGCAGUCAUGUUUCAUCUGACCCAACAUCAUGCGUUUUCAUCUUUUAGAAUCACGUCUACUAUCUUCCAGCUUCUGCUUGUAUGGGUUAGCAAUAUCUUCUUCUGUGGAAUUGAUUUAAUUGGAAGUGCUAGUGUGUGUGUGUUUCUUUUCUAUGGGUUCGUAGUCUCUUGUUUUAAGAGAGAACCUAUUUGUGAUGUCCUUUGAAAUAUAUGUAAUGAUAAUUGUAAUGUCUAUAUUUGUAAUUGUAAUGUCUAUAUUUGUCAUGAUAA